This 508-nucleotide ribosomal RNA is filed under the name uncultured bacterium. RNAcentral describes it as "partial 16S ribosomal RNA". It matches the Rfam family "Bacterial small subunit ribosomal RNA", at positions 28 to 507 of the family's 1533-position model. The record is from RNAcentral.
GACGAACGCUGGCGGCGUGCCUAAUACAUGCAAGUCGAACGCUUCUUUCCUCCCGAGUGCUUGCACUCAAUUGGAAAGAGGAGUGGCGGACGGGUGAGUAACACGUGGGUAACCUACCCAUCAGAGGGGGAUAACACUUGGAAACAGGUGCUAAUACCGCAUAACAGUUUAUGCCGCAUGGCAUAAGAGUGAAAGGCGCUUUCGGGUGUCGCUGAUGGAUGGACCCGCGGUGCAUUAGCCAGUUGGUGAGGUAACGGCUCACCAAGGCCACGAUGCAUAGCCGACCUGAGAGGGUGAUCGGCCACACUGGGACUGAGACACGGCCCAGACUCCUACGGGAGGCAGCAGUAGGGAAUCUUCGGCAAUGGACGAAAGUCUGACCGAGCAACGCCGCGUGAGUGAAGAAGGUUUUCGGAUCGUAAAACUCUGUUGUUAGAGAAGAACAAGGACGUUAGUAACUGAACGUCCCCUGACGGUAUCUAACCAGAAAGCCACGGCUAACUACGUG